This is a ribosomal RNA of 159 nucleotides. It matches the Rfam family "5.8S ribosomal RNA". Rfam says of the family: 5.8S ribosomal RNA (5.8S rRNA) is a component of the large subunit of the eukaryotic ribosome. It is transcribed by RNA polymerase I as part of the 45S precursor that also contains 18S and 28S rRNA.
AACGUCGGUGUACAGUGAAUCACUUGGCUCGCAAAUCGAGGAAGAACGUUGCCAUAUGUGAUAAAUUCUGUGAACUGCAGGACACACGGAACAGAUAGUUUUUGAACGCAAAUGACAGCUGUGAGGUCAAACUCAUAGCUACAUCCGUUUGAGGUCGAU